Molecule: ribosomal RNA, 501 nt
Filed under: uncultured bacterium
Lineage: Bacteria
Description: partial 16S ribosomal RNA
Rfam family: Bacterial small subunit ribosomal RNA
Source: RNAcentral
AUUGAACGCUGGCGGCAGGCUUAACACAUGCAAGUCGAGCGGGGGGAGGUAGCUUGCUACCGGACCUAGCGGCGGACGGGUGAGUAAUGCUUAGGAAUCUGCCUAUUAGUGGGGGACAACAUCUCGAAAGGGAUGCUAAUACCGCAUACGUCCUACGGGAGAAAGCAGGGGAUCUUCGGACCUUGCGCUAAUAGAUGAGCCUAAGUCGGAUUAGCUAGUUGGUGGGGUAAAGGCCUACCAAGGCGACGAUCUGUAGCGGGUCUGAGAGGAUGAUCCGCCGCACUGGGACUGAGACACGGCCCAGACUCCUACGGGAGGUAGCAGUGGGGAAUAUUGGACAAUGGGGGGAACCCUGAUCCAGCCAUGCCGCGUGUGUGAAGAAGGCCUUAUGGUUGUAAAGCACUUUAAGCGAGGAGGAGGCUACUUUAGUUAAUACCUAGAGAUAGUGGACGUUACUCGCAGAAUAAGCACCGGCUAACUCUGUGCCAGCAGCCGCGGUAA